Orbicella faveolata is the source of this 398-nucleotide long non-coding RNA. The record is from RefSeq and is a predicted model, not a curated record. Lineage: Eukaryota; Metazoa; Cnidaria; Anthozoa; Scleractinia; Merulinidae.
AGCCCAACAAAAACAAAAUGGCGGCGACUAUGGGAACUCACGAUGCUUCGUACAUUGGCCUUUUAGGUUUAGCAGAAACUUUCAGAACAUCGAACCCACCCAAAAUCAGGCAAUGUAUACAGUGUCUCCAGUCUGUGUUUCAAUUUCAACCAUCGCCCGCCAUCCAAGCUCGAACGCAUCUACAGCUCGGGAAACUUCUUCAUUCGCAUACGCAAAAUACGGACAUGGGGCGUUCACAUUUAGAAAAGGCGGUUGUCCAAGCACAAUCUCUUGGAACUGGAUUUGAAGACAUUCAUUUGGAAGCCAUGUGCAUUUUAACAGACAUUUACAAAGAACAGGUAUUAUAAUUUAUGGUUUUGUAGAUUCUAAGUGCCGUAGGACUUUUGCCAUAGCAAGUC